CAAAAGGGUGAAUAUCGGUAAGAGAUUCAGUGAAGGGAUUGGGAUGAUCAUAAAGCCUUCCAUCAUCCAAGAUGAAUGAACUACAUACCGAAUAUGUUUUCCCAGCUCGAAGAUGACAAGGGGUGGUUAGAGCUAUUUGAAAAUCUAACUGAGGAUCAAGUACAAAAGAUGUUCGGGUGGUUCCCUACAGAAGAAUUCAUCGCCCAAUCUA
Molecule: long non-coding RNA, 211 nt
Filed under: Nicotiana benthamiana
Lineage: Eukaryota; Viridiplantae; Streptophyta; Magnoliopsida; Solanales; Solanaceae
Description: long non-coding RNA (NBEN_LNC016445)
Source: RNAcentral